GGAUCAGUAGGUUGGUCGUGCCACCGGUACGUACUGGUCUCACUGAUUCCUCCUUCCUGAAGAACCGUAAUGCCAUUAAUUUGGUGUUGCGGGGAAGCAGGACUGUUACUUUGAAAAAAUUAGAGUGUUUAAAGCAAGCUAACGCUUGAAUACAUUAGCAUGGAAUAAUGAAAUAGGACGAUCGAUCCUAUUUUGUUGGUUUCUAGGAUUGACGUA
This 216-nucleotide ribosomal RNA is filed under the name Glomeromycotina sp. RNAcentral's name for it is "partial small subunit ribosomal RNA". The stretch from base 40 to 216 matches the Rfam family "Eukaryotic small subunit ribosomal RNA", at positions 686 to 864 of the family's 1831-position model. The record is from RNAcentral. Lineage: Eukaryota; Fungi; Glomeromycota.